This 74-nucleotide transfer RNA is filed under the name Pseudomonadota bacterium. RNAcentral's name for it is "tRNA-Pro". It matches the Rfam family "tRNA". From Rfam's summary of the family: Transfer RNA (tRNA) molecules are approximately 80 nucleotides in length. The record is from RNAcentral. Lineage: Bacteria; Pseudomonadati; Pseudomonadota. RNAcentral also lists the same sequence under 1 other name.
CGGGGCGUAGCGCAGCUUGGUAGCGCACCUGAAUGGGGUUCAGGGGGUCGCAGGUUCAAAUCCUGUCGCCCCGA